UACGUAGGGUGCGAGCGUUAAUCGGAAUUACUGGGCGUAAAGCGUGCGCAGGCGGUUCGUUAAGUUCGUUGUGAAAGCCCCGGGCUCAACCUGGGAACUGCAAUGGAAACUGGCGGGCUUGAGUGUGGCAGAGGGGGGUGGAAUUCCGCGUGUAGCAGUGAAAUGCGUAGAGAUGCGGAGGAACACCGAUGGCGAAGGCAGCUCGCUGGGACGUGACUGACGCUGAGACGCGAAAGCGUGGGGAGCAAACAGG
This 253-nucleotide ribosomal RNA is filed under the name uncultured bacterium. Its description in RNAcentral is "partial 16S ribosomal RNA". It matches the Rfam family "Bacterial small subunit ribosomal RNA", at positions 524 to 776 of the family's 1533-position model. The record is from RNAcentral.